CACUGCUCCAAACAGCAGACUUCUUUUUUUUUUUUUGCAGUUUUGGCUGGGGCUGGGUUUGAACUCGCCACCUCCAGCAUAUGGGGCUGGCACCCUACUCCUUUGAGCCACAGGCGCUGCCCACACCAGACUUCUUUUCCCGAGGACUACAGCUUCAGCUUAGGCUGCAGCCCCUGUGGACGAGACACCGGGAGGAAAAUGCACAGUGGCUGUGAAGAUGCUGCUCCAGGGCCAAGCUCAGAGGACUUAGGCCGAGCUGUGUUUUCACUUCCAGUUUUACAGAUGAGAAAACUGAAGCUCAUGUUUGUGGUAAAGGACUACUGCAUAUUUUAAGUGAAUCAUUAUACUCUCCUACUGGGGUCAUAAACUCCUAACCAGUCCAGAGAAGCAACUGAAAAUGAGUGGAGUGAUCUGAGUAGAGGACGAGGCGAACUGGGAGGCUCGUGCCCAUUUGGGAACAGAAGAUGCCAGGUAGGAAUUAUUGAGAGGUGUGGCCUCGGGAGGUGAUGGAUGGGUCAGUGGCCUUGCCAAGGGGCCCAGGAAGUUCGUGGGUGAGGACGGGGUGAGAAGUCAGAGAGAGAACGGGUCCUCAUCAGGGGCUGGACCUUGUGGUGUCUUGACCAUGGACUUUCCAGCCUCUAGAGCAAUGCCCUGGGAAGAUGCUGUCUAAAUCCUCUAUGAAGAUUACUCACAAAGAUACCCUACAAAAAGUCGGCUGUUCCAGACAUGAUGAAGUUGCUGGCUCCAUGCUGCUCCUUUGUCUGGACUGUUCCUCCUGACCCCUGGCCCCCUGGGCCCUCUUCUCCUCUGCUCUCCAUAUUUUCUUGAAAUUGUUCCUACUCAGUCUUUAGACCUGGCUGAGCUGUUAUCUCUCUGUCAGGACUUCCCCGCUGUUCCUUCUGCUGUCUCCCUAUCUCCUCCUAAAGGGAUUAGUGUCUCUCGUGAGAAUCUCACUGCUUUCCAUUCUCUGGAAUUGUCAUUUCUGAUUGUGUGUCUCCCCUGCUACAUUGUAAAUACAACGUAUUUAAUAAUACUCUGGGAAUAAAAUCGUGCUGCCUUCCUUUUGACAACUUAUAGUAACAUAAGGA
This is a long non-coding RNA of Nycticebus coucang (slow loris), 1088 nucleotides long. RefSeq lists it as uncharacterized. The record is from RefSeq and is a predicted model, not a curated record. The transcript is spliced from 5 exons. NCBI's taxonomy places the organism in Eukaryota, Metazoa, Chordata, Mammalia, Primates, Lorisidae.